CACUAUGCUUAGCCCUAAACACAAUAAACUAUUAUAACAAAAUUAUUCGCCAGAGUACUACCGGCAAUAGCUUAAAACUCAAAGGACUUGGCGGUGCUUUAUACCCUUCUAGAGGAGCCUGUUCUAUAAUCGAUAAACCCCGAUAGACCUCACCACCCCUUGCUAAUACAGUCUAUAUACCGCCAUCUUCAGCAAACCCUAAAAAGGAACAAAAGUAAGCACAAUCAUCAUACAUAAAAACGUUAGGUCAAGGUGUAACCUAUGAGGUGGGAAGAAAUGGGCUACAUUUUCUAAUUUAAGAAAACUUAACACGAAAGUUAUUAUGAAAUUAAUAACCAAAGGAGGAUUUAGCAGUAAACUAAGAAUAGAGUGCUUAGUUGAAUUAGGCAAUGAAGCACGC
This 400-nucleotide ribosomal RNA is filed under the name Capreolus capreolus (Western roe deer). RNAcentral describes it as "partial small subunit ribosomal RNA". The stretch from base 53 to 400 matches the Rfam family "Bacterial small subunit ribosomal RNA", at positions 875 to 1384 of the family's 1533-position model. The record is from RNAcentral. Lineage: Eukaryota; Metazoa; Chordata; Mammalia; Artiodactyla; Cervidae.